Molecule: long non-coding RNA, 1334 nt
Filed under: Oryzias sinensis (Chinese medaka)
Lineage: Eukaryota; Metazoa; Chordata; Actinopteri; Beloniformes; Adrianichthyidae
Description: lncRNA (ENSOSIG00000014262.1)
Source: RNAcentral
AAAACAUCCGCCGCCGUCAUCAAUACAUCAGGUAACUUUUACUUUAAAUUCUUAUUAGUUUCCCUCACUAUGCCUUUACAUUUUUCUUCAGACACGGUAUUUUAAAUGUUUAUACUUUUUAAUAUUUUGCUAAUUCAAAUGUUUGAAAAACAAUUAUAGUUUGUAGACAAGGUAUUCAAGGUGAUUCUCAAUGGAUUGAAACAAACUUCGGACCAUUUGCUCACCUCACAACAUACUUGGAUUUGAAAUUCUUUAACAUUUCUGAGGUGGCCAUAUUGGACUUCAUUUCCCCUGCUCAGAUAGCUGUUUUACUUCUCGAACAAAAGAAUCUGUCAAAUGAAACUCUCGUCAUACUUGCAAUCACAAGACUCACCAAGUCAUCUUCUGUAAACGACCUUGAGUCUUUCUUUGACAAAUUUGUUAAUGGCUCCACAAAAACUCUGGAAACACUCAGCCCCAGAUUGCUUGACUUCAUUCUGAACACAACAUUAACAUCUUUAGUUCCGCAGCUGUCUGGUCUAAACGCUGAGGGCUUCAAGUUGUGGUUCCAGGUUUACUUAGCUCCUUUUCUGCCAGGUGCUAACAGUAGGACCUUUGAAAUAAUCUCAAGAAACAUCAGUUGUAACUCCUAUCGAGAAAUUGUUAAAGGGUUUGACAACAUAUUCCAUCAUCUUACUGAGGCUCAGUACCAAAGUGUUUUCAAGUUUAUUUUAGAAUAUCUCAGAGGACAAACUUUAUCAGGGUUAUCAUGCGUUACAUCUGGAAUGGAUGACAGACAAUGGCUAGAGGAUAACUUUGGACAGUUCAGAUUCCUGGCCUCCUAUCAAGAUUUUAUUUCCCUGAAAAACAAUUUCAAUGCCGUUGAAGUUGCGGAUCUUCUCACUGUCAGUCAGCUCGGGCAGCUUGCAGCAACACCCUCACAGCUAACAAGCAAGCAAGUUGUUGCAAAAAUUAUGACAGCCAUCACCCCUGCUGAAUUUGACGUUUUCUUUGACAUCGUUUCACCAGCUAUUGAAGCACAGUCAGCCAGCUACUCUGUUGAUGUGAAAUCUGCCUUCAUCCAAGCAGUUUUUGCCAGAGGAAAUCUUUCCUCCUCUGCUGUUAAUGAUGAAGAGUUCCUGCACUGGCUCACAGUUAGAUUAUGCCCUCUCUUUGUCAACCUGUCCUCAAACCUGGUGACCCCCUUAUUCCAAAUUGGAACAAGUAGAAACUGCAAUGGGAGUCAAGAGUUGAUUAAACUCCUGGACACACUAAAGAUGACAUUCACGACCAACACUGAAAAGGAGGUUUACAGAAACAUCCUCCUGUUCCUUCAAGGUUUGGAGAUAAGAUAA